GCUGGGCACAGUGGUGCACUCCUGUAAUCCAAGUGGCUUGGGAGGCUGAGGCAGGAGGAUCACAAGUUCAAAGACAGCCUCAGCAAAAGCGAGGCACUAAGCAACUCAGUGAGACCCUGUCUCUA
RNAcentral lists this small RNA (125 nucleotides) under Marmota monax (woodchuck). The record is from RNAcentral. Lineage: Eukaryota; Metazoa; Chordata; Mammalia; Rodentia; Sciuridae.